This 492-nucleotide ribosomal RNA is filed under the name Vacrothele pseudohunanica. Its description in RNAcentral is "SSU rRNA". It matches the Rfam family "Eukaryotic small subunit ribosomal RNA", at positions 442 to 938 of the family's 1831-position model. The record is from RNAcentral. Lineage: Eukaryota; Metazoa; Arthropoda; Arachnida; Araneae; Macrothelidae.
UACCCACUCCCGGCACGGGGAGGUAGUGACGAAAAAUAACAAUACGGGACUCUUUUGAGACCCCGUAAUUGGAAUGAGUACACUCUAAAUCCUUUAACGAGGAUCUAUUGGAGGGCAAGUCUGGUGCCAGCAGCCGCGGUAAUUCCAGCUCCAAUAGCGUAUAUUAAAGUUGUUGCGGUUAAAAAGCUCGUAGUUGGAUCUCAGUUCCAGACGGGCGGUCCGCCUAACGGUGGUUACUGCCUGGCCUGAACAGCCAGCCGGUUUCCCUAGAUGAUCUUCACCGGUUGUCUUGGGUGACCGGCACGUUUACUUUGAAAAAAUUAGAGUGCUCAAAGCAGGCGUGUAGCCUGAAUAAUGGUGCAUGGAAUAAUGGAAUAGGACUUCGUUUCUAUUUUGUUGGUUUUCGGAACACGAGGUAAUGAUUAAGAGGGACAGACGGGGGCAUUCGUAUUGCGACGCUAGAGGUGAAAUUCUUGGACCGUCGCAAGACGA